Molecule: non-coding RNA, 492 nt
Organism: Microcebus murinus (gray mouse lemur)
Lineage: Eukaryota; Metazoa; Chordata; Mammalia; Primates; Cheirogaleidae
Source: RefSeq, a predicted model, not a curated record
AUGGGAAGGUGCUUUUCCACUGCCGCCGUGGCACCCGGGAAAAAGCUUGAGGCAAAGGAGGGGCAAAAAAAAAAAAAAAGGAUCAAGCGUUGAAGUUCACUCUUGAUGGCACCCACCCGGUUGGAAGACGCAAUCGUGCAUGCUGCUAAUUUUGAGCAGUUUUUGCAAGAGAGAAUCAAAGAGAACGGAAAAGCUGGAAACCUCCGGGGGAAGGGCCGUGACCAUGGAGAGAAGCAAGAGCAAGGUCACUGCCAACUUCCAAGGUGCCUAUUUCUGAAAGGUAUUCGAAAUAUCUCACCAAAAAAGUAUUUGAAGCUCAAUCUACGUGAUUGGUUGCGUGUAGUUGCUAACAGCAAAGAGAGUUACGAAUUACGUCACUUCCAAAUUAACCAGGACGAAGAAGAGGAGGAAGAUGAGGAUUAAAAUUCAUUUAUUUGGCAUAUUUUGUAUGAGUUCUUAAAUAAAACAUCGGAAGUAAAAAAAAAAAAAAAA